GGGCUCGUAGCUCAGUACCGUUUGUAUCAAUUAAUAUACUCGGUUGAGUAACAGCAGAGCACCCGCCUUGCACGCGGGGGGCCGAGGGUGCGAGGCCGUCUAUCCCUCCGAGUCCA
Molecule: transfer RNA, 116 nt
Filed under: Microcaldota archaeon
Lineage: Archaea; Nanobdellati; Microcaldota
Description: tRNA-Ala
Source: RNAcentral